Oncorhynchus tshawytscha (Chinook salmon) is the source of this 335-nucleotide long non-coding RNA. The record is from Ensembl. NCBI's taxonomy places the organism in Eukaryota, Metazoa, Chordata, Actinopteri, Salmoniformes, Salmonidae.
UAGAGGGCAUGAGGUAGUCUUUAGGAGGUCUGUGUGUGUGUGUGGGGGGGUGUAUAGAGGGCAUGAGGUAGUCUUUAGGAGGUCUGUGUGUGUGUUGUGUGUGGGGGGGGGUGUAUAGAGGGCAUGAGGUAGUCUUUAGGAGGUCUGUGUGGCUGUUGGGGGGGUAUAUAGAGGGCAUGAGGUAGUCUUUAGGAGGUCUGUGUGUGUGUGUGUGGGGGGGGUAUAUAGGGGGCAUGAGGUAGUCUUUAGGAGGUCUGUGUGUGUGUGGGGGGAGGUAUAUAGAGGGCAUGAGGUAGUCUUUAGGAGGUCUGUGUCUGUGUUGUGUGUGGGGGGGG